RNAcentral lists this transfer RNA (75 nucleotides) under Bacillota bacterium. RNAcentral's name for it is "Firmicutes bacterium (anaerobic digester metagenome) tRNA-Thr". It matches the Rfam family "tRNA". Rfam says of the family: Transfer RNA (tRNA) molecules are approximately 80 nucleotides in length. Lineage: Bacteria; Bacillati; Bacillota. The record is from RNAcentral.
GCCGACGUAGCUCAACGGUAGAGCAGCUGAUUUGUAAUCAGCAGGUUGGGGGUUCGAGUCCGCCCGUCGGCUCCA